Phodopus roborovskii (desert hamster) is the source of this 629-nucleotide long non-coding RNA. RefSeq lists it as uncharacterized. The transcript has 4 exons. NCBI's taxonomy places the organism in Eukaryota, Metazoa, Chordata, Mammalia, Rodentia, Cricetidae. The record is from RefSeq and is a predicted model, not a curated record.
ACACCGCACGAGUCCCAUUUGUGCCUCCCGAGUGCAAGUUCACCCAAGUGGUGACUUUUUAGGGACUCUCUUUCUCGCCUCGCAGAAGCCUUCUGUGGCUACCCGCCCCCUGUCCAGUUGCUCCGACGUGGCUACUUGGCGGGUUGGGCCUUAUAAAGGGCCGCGGGCAGCUCCUCGCAAAGCAGAGACGUGGCGCUUCUACUAGGCCGGCCUCGGCUCCAGAUAGAUCAGACAAAUGAACAUCCAGGGAAACAGAGCAAGAGAUCCCCACGUGGCCCCUGAUGGCUUUCGGAGAGGGUCUUCUUCAUAGACAGAGCCAGCUGGGCUAAUUUGCACUUCUGCAAGGAUUUGAGCCUCACCAAGAAAUUUGUGAACUUUGCUGAUCUGAUGUCUUCUUGACCCAGCUCACCAGGAAUGUCAGUCACAAGCACUGAAGGAGAAAGGAGCAGUUAAAUGGCCUGAUUGCAGCCCAAGAAUGGAGCAGGGAGGAGCUGAAGAGAGCCUGGCCUGGGAGACAUGAAGACAGCUGUGGACCACAGUUGGCUUUCCCAGAAGACUCACUAACUGUGGGCUUUGAAAUGUAACAAGAUUACUAAAUUAUUAAAAAAAAAAAAAAAAAAAAAAAAAAA